RNAcentral lists this non-coding RNA (29 nucleotides) under Mus musculus (house mouse). The record is from RNAcentral. Lineage: Eukaryota; Metazoa; Chordata; Mammalia; Rodentia; Muridae.
UACAAAAAUACCACUGACACCAUCUAUGA